CCUACGGGAGGCAGCAGUGGGGAAUAUUGCACAAUGGGGGAAACCCUGAUGCAGCGACGCCGCGUGAGGGAAGAAGUAUUUCGGUAUGUAAAGCUCUAUCAGCAGGGAAGAAAUACCGACCUUUGGGUUGCCAGACGGUACCUGGUUAAGAAGCGCCGGCUAACGACGUGCCAGCAGCCGCGGUAAGACGUAGGGGGCAAGCGUUAUCCGGAUUUAUUUGGGGUAAAGGGAGCGUAGACGGCAGCGCAAGUCUGAAGUGAAAUGUCGGGGCUUAACCCCGGAACUGCUUUGGAAACUGUGUAGCUAGAGUGUAGGAGAGGUAAGUGGAAUUCAUAGUGUAGCGGUGAAAUGCGUAGAGAUUAGGAAGAACACCAGUGGCGAAGGCGGCUUACUGGACUGUAACUGACGUUGAGGCUCGAAAGCGUGGGGAGCAAACAGGAUUAGAUACCCGGGUAGUC
RNAcentral lists this ribosomal RNA (458 nucleotides) under uncultured bacterium. RNAcentral's name for it is "partial 16S ribosomal RNA". It matches the Rfam family "Bacterial small subunit ribosomal RNA", at positions 338 to 795 of the family's 1533-position model. The record is from RNAcentral.